UGGUGGGGUGACCCGUCUGGUUAAUUUCGAUAACGAACGAGAUCCGAGCUGUUUAGUUGGCUGUUUCUGCUACGGCAGGCUCAUGUCUCCUAAACGGACUGUCAGUUUGAGGCUGAAGGAAGUUUCGGGCUAAAUCA
This 137-nucleotide ribosomal RNA is filed under the name uncultured eukaryote. RNAcentral's name for it is "partial 18S ribosomal RNA". It matches the Rfam family "Eukaryotic small subunit ribosomal RNA", at positions 1299 to 1458 of the family's 1831-position model. The record is from RNAcentral.